CUGUGCAGCUUGGGUAGAGAGAACGACAGGUCACAUCAUCAAAUGUUACAAUUCAUCCUCAGUCAGUCAUGUUGAUGUAUUGGGAGCCGAACGGAAGCCUGAAUAUAUCUGGUCUCAUCUACUUCUCACACCUGCCUGGUGGGGCCCUGGAAUAGCUCCCCUCACUUUGGGGGUUCAGGGACCUGCUCGGGGUCACUCCCACCGCAGAGAAGUGACAGAACCAGGGUCUGGAACCCCGGUCUCGGGACUCCAACUCUAGAGCUCGCUCCACAGAGCCGGGCGGCCCAGUGAGUGGUUUCCUGGCCUGACACCUUGUUUCUCGCGGGCCUUCCUCCCGCUCAUGUCCCCCGUUCCGGGGCCUCCCCAGAGCGUGGCUUAUUUCUUUAAGCUUCGAGAAGAGAAAGAAAAAGGGAGAUGAUGAAACAAAUUUAUUGCCAUGUUAGAAACACUGGAUGGAAGAAUUGAUCCCCACGGCUAAGUAAUUUCCCUCUUUCGUGCAAAAUAUAAAUAAAUCUGUAUGGCUUAUGCUGAGUGAUGAGCCUGGGCCGCCGGCUGGAUUUCACGACGUGAAAUGCCCUUCAGAGUCUCCAGCUUCCUCUCCUUGACCCCAUCAACGAGCUGUUCCAAAUAGCCCUUGUGUUCUCCCCGAAGGGGGGAUGUUGGCGGCUCCUGCGUCUUGCCCGCUACUGUUAGGCAGACUUGGGGACGUCUCGCAGAGUGUUUCCAUGGCUCAGCUCGACCCUAGCAGAUCCCGUCCCCGCUGGCUUCUCCUUGCGAGGAUGCCCGCGCUGGUGCCGGUUCCCUGCCUGGAACGGUCAUCCUUCCCUGCUGCCUUACAGAUCCCUCCGAAGUGCUGCGAUCCUAGGAAGCCUUUCUUGGUGAUUCCAGCGUGGGGAGAAUGCCCCUUCCUGGUGCUCUGGAUGCCAGGCGGGGCAGCUGACACUUUGGCCCUCCCUUGGGUGACCCAGAAUCCUUUUGUUCUGGGCUCUCAUCUCUGGGAGCAUCCCGCCCGGCCAGGCACUGUUCUUCUCCGGCCCCAGUGA
RNAcentral lists this long non-coding RNA (1043 nucleotides) under Felis catus (domestic cat). RNAcentral's name for it is "lncRNA (ENSFCAG00000051118.1)". Lineage: Eukaryota; Metazoa; Chordata; Mammalia; Carnivora; Felidae. The record is from RNAcentral.